UUAUUCCCCUACCGUUAAGGUUCCAUCACAAUCCAUCAUAAUCUCCUUACAUGCCAAACCAUUCAAAAAUGAUAGUAAUACCCUUUUCUUCACCCCCCACGCCGGUACUGGUCGUUUGAAACGUAGGGGGUGUUGGUCCUUGUCAUCUGAAUCUGAUCAAAUUCUUUUUCUCUUUUUUUUACAGAGAUUAGAUUUGCAUAUUUGACAGAAUCUGAUCUUUACGCACUCAGAUUUCGAUCUCCGUAAAAUCCAAAUUCCUAUUUUGUCUGGUAUCGGAGUGAUGUCAGUGAUUAGAGGGAGUGGGGCUUUUAGGUUUGCCUAAGGAUAUGCUUAGGUCAAGACACACUCUUUGGACCCCAAAGCUGGUCACACCAUUAUUGAACUUUGAAGCUAGUGAUCUUGAGGCCGAAGCUGGUGGCAUAGGUUUGGGGGAGUUGGUGGCACCACCGCUAAGGGAGCAGAGGAGAAGUCGUCUAACCUGUGGGUUUGGGUGCAUGAGAUGGGCUUCCGCCUCAUCGAACUCUGCCUCUUCCCCAAUGCCACAGGGGAACUGCCGUAACCGCCGAGGUCGUCUUGCUUCACCACUUGCUUCAACGAGGCAGAAAAAGGCACUAAGUAUUGCUCAAAAUGCUCUAAAGAGGGCACCCCUUUUGAUCCCUCUCUUCAACCACUGCUACAUCCCCUGCAAUACUUGCUUGGCUAAAAACCCAAGACGAGAAUCACAUCUUUUGUUGUGGAGUGGAUCUCUCUGAUUUCUUUGAACAUGAGUCAGUAUUCCGAUGCAAUGAGAAGUUGAUUUGUUAGUGCCACCACUAACACUUUCAAUUGGUCUACUUGCAGGGGAGGCAGAGAGGGGGAACGAAGAGGGGAAGGGAAGUGGAGGAAGAAGGAGAUCAUCACUGUUGUUGGAAGUUAUAGUGGUGGCAGUGAUUUUGGUCGUUCCAAAAAUAGAGGUGAAGGGGGUUGGAGGAAGAAGAAGAUCAUCGCCGUUGCUAGAAGUUGUAGUGACAACAGCAAUUUUGGUUGAUCCAAAGCAGACAGAGGAGAAGGGGCGGAGGCAGCGGCGGCGACGGUGUGCGAUUUUGGUCAAUUCAAAAAAUGAACAGAGGAGAAAGGGGUAAAGGAAGAAGAAGAUCAUUGUCACCGCUGGAAGUUUCAGUGGCAGUGGCAAUUUUGGUUGUUCCUAAAACACAUAGAGGAGAAGGGGGUGGAGAAUUCAACGCUACCCGUGACUAUGCUUCAUAUUGGGUUGGUUUUUCAGCGAGCUCCCGUGAUACGAAAAUCCAUGCUUGGUGAGUAGUAAAGAGGGUAUGGUUCGUCUUCUAAUUUCUCAAGGAGAAGCUUAGAUUCCGAUGGUAGCAGGGGGAGGACACCCAGAUGGGUGGAAUUCUGGAGUGAGGUGGUUUUUGAUGGGUGACGUAGAAAUUCUUCAUCGUUGUUAUCUUUAUCAUCGUCACAGCGGUAUAUGGAGUCCACCCUGAGUUCAGCUUGCGUUCACCCUACUUUGCCAUCCAAGGGGUGCCUCACAACAACCUCACAGAUACAUUCCACGCAUUGGGAACAUCUUCCGUAAGUAAUGAUGAAACUGUACCACAUCCCAGCAUCUACAUUCAUGAUCAAUAGGAUCAGCCACCAGAGUGGAGUUUCCCGAAUGCCAUCAGCCUAAGGGCCUGUUUGGGAGGCUUCAGCGUUGAUUGAUCUCAUUGACUGGGCCAGUUUCCCCAGAAAGUGGUCCUUGUGAUGAUCAGAAAGAAACUUCUUCAACAGUUGCACAUGCAAGAGUGGGGCACAGGAGAGAGAUCCGAGUGGAUCAUUUGGUUUUACAUUUAUAAAAUUAUUGAUACUUUAAGCGAGUGAUUUGGGCACACCCCAUUUGUGAUAGAGGAUAGAGGCCCAAUAAAGAAUUGUUUGUUGGUCUUUUUCACUGGGGAUGAAACCAGUUUACUAAAAAAAAGGGACUUAGUAAU
This is a non-coding RNA of Nelumbo nucifera (sacred lotus), 1967 nucleotides long. NCBI's taxonomy places the organism in Eukaryota, Viridiplantae, Streptophyta, Magnoliopsida, Proteales, Nelumbonaceae. The record is from RefSeq and is a predicted model, not a curated record.